UGAUUUCUGACGUCGGCUAUGAGAGCUUGAAAAGGCCUCAGGGUCCACGCGCACCAGGUGCUGAUAUUCGGUUGAAUAAUCGAAGAAAGAUACUCGGUGAUCGGACCAAUGUGGGGGCCAGCAGUAGUUAUGUACCUAUCGUGGAUGGUGUGAAACAGUGGACCCCUGGAUCAAACCGUCUAACCAAGAAAAAUCUCAAAAGACCCAAUCUAGGACCGGCUCUACCUCUACCCAGCUCGC
Molecule: long non-coding RNA, 240 nt
Organism: Gadus chalcogrammus (walleye pollock)
Lineage: Eukaryota; Metazoa; Chordata; Actinopteri; Gadiformes; Gadidae
Exons: 3
Source: RefSeq, a predicted model, not a curated record